RNAcentral lists this ribosomal RNA (564 nucleotides) under Espadarana prosoblepon (emerald glass frog). RNAcentral's name for it is "partial 16S ribosomal RNA". It matches the Rfam family "Bacterial large subunit ribosomal RNA", at positions 1832 to 2592 of the family's 2925-position model. The record is from RNAcentral. Lineage: Eukaryota; Metazoa; Chordata; Amphibia; Anura; Centrolenidae.
CGCCUCUUGAAUAAAUAUAAGAGGUCCAGCCUGCCCAGUGACUCUGUUCAACGGCCGCGGUAUCCUAACCGUGCGAAGGUAGCGUAAUCACUUGUUCUUUAAAUGAGGACUAGUAUGAAUGGCACCACGAAGGUUAUACUGUCUCCUCUCUCUAAUCAGUGAAACUAAUCUCCCCGUGAAGAAGCGGGAAUAAACAUAUAAGACGAGAAGACCCUAUGGAGCUUUAAACUAUGUAACACUUGCACCACCACAGCACAAAUUUCAGAAAAAUCUCUCCAACGCAUGCAAGCUUAUUACCAGUUUUAGGUUGGGGUGACCGCGGAGCAAAAAACAACCUCCACAUUGAAAGGAACUUACUCCUUAGCCAAGAGCCACACCUCCACGCACCAUUAUAAUGACAUUAAUUGACCCAAUAUUUUGAUCAACGAACCAAGUUACCCUAGGGAUAACAGCGCAAUCCAUUUCAAGAGCUCCUAUCGACAAAUGGGUUUACGACCUCGAUGUUGGAUCAGGGUAUCCCGGUGGUGCAGCCGCUACCAAAGGUUCGUUUGUUCAACGAUUAAA